RNAcentral lists this small RNA (223 nucleotides) under Arabidopsis thaliana (thale cress). RNAcentral describes it as "ATSL032490". Lineage: Eukaryota; Viridiplantae; Streptophyta; Magnoliopsida; Brassicales; Brassicaceae. The record is from RNAcentral.
UUAUAGCGAAAUAUUCUGAAACCCUAGUACUCAAAACGACACAGUAUUGGGACGGAUUAAGAACGGCACUCGACCCAUGUGGUCGAGUGAUUGGUCGAGUGAUAAGCUGGAGUCUUCUACUCUUCCUUGUGCCCGAGACUCUGGUUGAGUGCAGAAUGGAGAAGACUCUGAAGCUAGCAGUCGAGUAUUCUGUCGAGUGGAUGAUGAUGGUGAUACUUGGCCA